This 1285-nucleotide long non-coding RNA is filed under the name Vulpes vulpes (red fox). RNAcentral's name for it is "lncRNA (ENSVVUG00000024547.1)". Lineage: Eukaryota; Metazoa; Chordata; Mammalia; Carnivora; Canidae. The record is from RNAcentral.
GGAAGAGCUGACACUGCCUGCGUGAAAGACAGGAGCCCAGGGCUCUCUCCUGAGAUACAAAUUGUAAGAAGCCACCAUGGGGCCAGGACCCUCCCCUGUGGAAUUUAUCCUUAUUGAAUAAUGGAGCGCUGCCCAUUUCAGCUUGAAGGCUGCUGAUCUUUCCUUUUCAUUUCUUUACCUUCAACAGGUGUCAGCUGAGCUCUGUCUAUGUGUCAGGCCCACAGCUUGACCCCAGGACACUUUCAGAAGAGUCCAGUUUUGGUGGAAGCCGGACAUGUGUAUAUAUGUAAUGAGGGUCUCAGGAACCUGGGCAGCAAGAGAUAAGCCAAUAUAUCUGCCUGUUGAGCCUACAGUUAAAAAUAAUUAUAGGGAACAUGGUGAUGCUUCAGAAACUGUCAGAUAUAUUUUGUGUGUCUUUGGGAUUAGGAAGUGGGAGUGCUGCCAUCGGGCUCUCUUAGUUGAGAACAAGGAUCCAGAGGAGGUGGAAGUUCCCAGCACAAUCCAGAGCCCUGUGUGGACACUGAUCUCCAUAAGGACUGUUUAUUGCCGGGACCCUGCUGCACCAGAAAGGUUAUUCAGAAUUACAUUCAGCUCUCCAAAAGAAGGGCAGAGUCUGUACAUUUAAGCUUUGAUUUUCCCAUCAGGUGUGAGCCAGGGCAAGAAAGGAUGUAAAUUAAAAAGGACCUGUAACUUGCUCACCAGUGCAUUCUCUGUGCAUUGGACGUUAAUUGAAAAGAGUGGGUUUUUUUUUUUCUGAAUACUUUUCUAUGCUUUCUAAAUUUUCUUUAGUGAGCAUAUGUUAAUUCAUCCAUUUAUUCAUUAAUUUACUCCUUUACCAAGCAGGCACUAAAGUAGUUAGAGUGUGCUUGACAUUUGCUGGGUAUUUAAACAGUACUAAAAUGGAGUCCUUGCCCUCAAAGAACUUAUAUCUGGUAGAGCUGUUUAUCUUAGUUAGCAAUGACUCUGAGGCAAGUAUGGUACCAAGCAUUUCACUUACAGGAUCUCAUUCAAUUCUCAUAAUAAUUCCAUAGCAUAGGGAUAAUUAUCUUCAUUUAAUAGAUGAAGACUGAAGCUUAAAGAUAGAGCAUGGCCACAGCCCAUCCAUAAUGGGCAUGUUGAAUGAGUGAUGAAUGAUUGCUAUCAGAAGCCACUAAAACCCUGGGGUCAUUUGUUUUGCAGCAUGACCAUCUGACUGGCACAGAAUCCUUAAACCAUGAUACCAGAGUGCCUUCUUUUUAUAUCAUUUCUAUAAUUAGAAAUGAAAACCGUAGGAAUUGGAGAAAGC